GCCACCUUAGCUCAACUGGCAGAGCAAGCGCUUCGUAAGCGCUAGGUUCGGGGUUCAAAUCCCCGAGGUGGCU
RNAcentral lists this transfer RNA (73 nucleotides) under Anaerolineales bacterium. Its description in RNAcentral is "tRNA-Thr". It matches the Rfam family "tRNA". Rfam says of the family: Transfer RNA (tRNA) molecules are approximately 80 nucleotides in length. Lineage: Bacteria; Bacillati; Chloroflexota; Anaerolineae; Anaerolineales. The record is from RNAcentral.